CUCCAUGACGCUGGCGGCAGGCCUAACACAUGCAAGUCGAGCGGAAACGAGUUAUCUGAACCUUCGGGGAACGAUAACGGCGUCGAGCGGCGGACGGGUGAGUAAUGCCUAGGAAAUUGCCCUGAUGUGGGGGAUAACCAUUGGAAACGAUGGCUAAUACCGCAUAAUGCCUACGGGCCAAAGAGGGGGACCUUCGGGCCUCUCGCGUCAGGAUAUGCCUAGGUGGGAUUAGCUAGUUGGUGAGGUAAGGGCUCACCAAGGCGACGAUCCCUAGCUGGUCUGAGAGGAUGAUCAGCCACACUGGAACUGAGACACGGUCCAGACUCCUACGGGAGGCAGCAGUGGGGAAUAUUGCACAAUGGGCGCAAGCCUGAUGCAGCCAUGCCGCGUGUGUGAAGAAGGCCUUCGGGUUGUAAAGCACUUUCAGUCGUGAGGAAGGUAGUGUAGUUAAUAGCUGCAUUAUUUGACGUUAGCGACAGAAGAAGCACCGGCUAAC
Molecule: ribosomal RNA, 496 nt
Filed under: Vibrio campbellii
Lineage: Bacteria; Pseudomonadati; Pseudomonadota; Gammaproteobacteria; Vibrionales; Vibrionaceae
Description: bacterial SSU rRNA
Rfam family: Bacterial small subunit ribosomal RNA
Source: RNAcentral